GAGUAACACGUGGGCAAUCUGCCCUGCACUUCGGGAUAAGCCUGGGAAACUGGGUCUAAUACCGGAUAGGACCUUUAGGCGCAUGUCUUUAGGUGGAAAGCUUUUGCGGUGUGGGAUGGGCCCGCGGCCUAUCAGCUUGUUGGUGGGGUGAUGGCCUACCAAGGCGACGACGGGUAGCCGGCCUGAGAGGGUGUCCGGCCACACUGGGACUGAGAUACGGCCCAGACUCCUACGGGAGGCAGCAGUGGGGAAUAUUGCACAAUGGGCGCAAGCCUGAUGCAGCGACGCCGCGUGGGGGAUGACGGCCUUCGGGUUGUAAACCUCUUUCACCAUCGACGAAGGUCCGGGUUUUCUCGGAUUGACGGUAGGUGGAGAAGAAGCACCGGCCAACUACGUGCCAGCAGCCGCGGUAAUACGUAGGGUGCGAGCGUUGUCCGGAAUUACUGGGCGUAAAGAGCUCGUAGGUGGUUUGUCGCGUUGUUCGUGAAAUCUCACGGCUUAACUGUGAGCGUGCGGGCGAUACGGGCAGACUAGAGUACUGCAGGGGAGACUGGAAUUCCUGGUGUAGCGGUGGAAUGCGCAGAUAUCAGGAGGAACACCGGUGGCGAAGGCGGGUCUCUGGGCAGUAACUGACGCUGAGGAGCGAAAGCGUGGGGAGCGAACAGGAUUAGAUACCCUGGUAGUCCACGCCGUAAACGGUGGGUACUAGGUGUGGGUUUCCUUCCUUGGGAUCCGUGCCGUAGCUAACGCAUUAAGUACCCCGCCUGGGGAGUACGGCCGCAAGGCUAAAACUCAAAGGAAUUGACGGGGGCCCGCACAAGCGGCGGAGCAUGUGGAUUAAUUCGAUGCAACGCGAAGAACCUUACCUGGGUUUGACAUGCACAGGACGCGUCUAGAGAUAGGCGUUCCCUUGUGGCCUGUGUGCAGGUGGUGCAUGGCUGUCGUCAGCUCGUGUCGUGAGAUGUUGGGUUAAGUCCCGCAACGAGCGCAACCCUUGUCUCAUGUUGCCAGCGGGUAAUGCCGGGGACUCGUGAGAGACUGCCGGGGUCAACUCGGAGGAAGGUGGGGAUGACGUCAAGUCAUCAUGCCCCUUAUGUCCAGGGCUUCACACAUGCUACAAUGGCCGGUACAAAGGGCUGCGAUGCCGCAAGGUUAAGCGAAUCCUUUUAAAGCCGGUCUCAGUUCGGAUUGGGGUCUGCAACUCGACCCCAUGAAGUCGGAGUCGCUAGUAAUCGCAGAUCAGCAACGCUGCGGUGAAUACGUUCCCGGGCCUUGUACACACCGCCCGUCACGUCAUGAAAGUCGGUAACACCCGAAGCCAGUGGCCUAACC
RNAcentral lists this ribosomal RNA (1332 nucleotides) under Mycobacterium intracellulare. RNAcentral describes it as "bacterial SSU rRNA". It matches the Rfam family "Bacterial small subunit ribosomal RNA", at positions 108 to 1440 of the family's 1533-position model. Lineage: Bacteria; Bacillati; Actinomycetota; Actinomycetes; Mycobacteriales; Mycobacteriaceae. The record is from RNAcentral.